AUACAGGGGGUGCGAGCGUUAAUCGGAAUUACUGGGCGUAAAGAGUACGUAGGCGGUUGCUUAAGUCAGAUGUGAAAGCCCCGGGCUCAACCUGGGAACUGCAUUUGAAACUGAGUGACUAGAGUUUAAGAGAGGGGAGUAGAAUUCCGGGUGUAGCGGUGAAAUGCGUAGAGAUCCGGAGGAAUACCAGUGGCGAAGGCGGCUCCCUGGCUUAAAACUGACGCUGCGGUACGAAAGCGUGGGUAGCAAACAGGAUUAGAAACCCCAGUAGUCC
This 274-nucleotide ribosomal RNA is filed under the name uncultured bacterium. RNAcentral describes it as "partial 16S ribosomal RNA". It matches the Rfam family "Bacterial small subunit ribosomal RNA", at positions 523 to 796 of the family's 1533-position model. The record is from RNAcentral.